GACGAACGCUGGCGGCGUGCCUAACACAUGCAAGUCGAACGGACGAGACUUCUUCGGAAGUCAAGUUAGUGGCGGACGGGUGAGUAACGCGUGAGUAACCUGCCUUGCAGAGGGGGAUAACGUUUGGAAACGAACGCUAAUACCGCAUAAAGUAUCUGAUAUCGCAUGGUAUUGAUACCAAAGAUUUUAUCGCUGUAAGAUGGACUCGCGUCUGAUUAGAUAGUUGGCGGGGUAACGGCCCACCAAGUCGACGAUCAGUAGCCGGACUGAGAGGUUGAACGGCCACAUUGGGACUGAGACACGGCCUAGACUCCUACGGGAGGCAGCAGUGAGGGAUAUUGCACAAUGGGCGCAAGCCUGAUGCAGCAACGCCGCGUGAGGGAUGACGGUUUUCGGAUUGUAAACCUCUGUCUUCAGUGAUGAUAAUGACAUUAGCUGAGGAGGAAGCCACGGCUAACUACGUGCCAGCAGCCGC
This 475-nucleotide ribosomal RNA is filed under the name uncultured bacterium. RNAcentral describes it as "bacterial SSU rRNA". It matches the Rfam family "Bacterial small subunit ribosomal RNA", at positions 28 to 518 of the family's 1533-position model. The record is from RNAcentral.